Molecule: ribosomal RNA, 623 nt
Filed under: uncultured Planctomycetota bacterium
Lineage: Bacteria; Pseudomonadati; Planctomycetota
Description: bacterial SSU rRNA
Rfam family: Bacterial small subunit ribosomal RNA
Source: RNAcentral
CGCGUGCGGGAUGAAGGCCUUCGGGUUGUCAAUCGCUGUCAGUUGGGAGGAAAUCUAUGGGGGUUCUCCCCCAUAUUUGACCUAUCUUCAAGGAGGGACGGGCUAAUUCGUGCCUGCACCGCGGUAAGACAACCGUCCAACUUAUUCGGAAUCACUGGGCUUAAAGGGUGCGUAGCUGCUUGCAGUGGGUGUGAAAUCCCUCGGCUCAACCGAGGAACUGCGCUCAAAACUGCCAGCAGAGGAAGAUUUUUUUUUCGGAACAAUGGUGGACGGUGAAAUGCGUUGAUUUCAUUAGGAACACCUGCGCCCCACGCGGUCAUGGGUCUUUUCUGACGCUGAGGCCAAGCUAGGGUAGCGAACGGGAUUAAUACCCCGGUAGCCAACCUGAAACGAUGACCACUGGUUGGGGGCUCCUCCUAAGUUUCCACCGAACCAAAAGGUUAAUGCUCCCCUGGGGAGUAUGGUCGCAAGGUGAAAUCAAAGGAAUUGAGGGGGGUCACACAAAUCACUUGAAUUCGGGGCCGCCUGGAGGCGACAUAUGGGAAAGCUCCCAACGCGUUGAAGCAUACUUGAUAAUCAUAUGGCCCCCAAAAUCCUGGAAUCAUGGCCUACCUGUUUCCUGA